UCUUCCUCGUCGUUCCUCUCUCACACGCGCCCACGUUGUUGUCCUCCUUCCAUUGCGAUGCCACCCCGCCCUCCUCCAUCCUUUCUUCUCCCUUGAAGAGCUCGCACCACCACCUCACUCUGCCUCUCAGUCGUGCUCAGUGGGUCGGCAAACGCGGGGAACACACGUGCCCAUGGCGGUAAGAUAAGCUCCGGCUGUAGCAGAUCUGAUUUUCUUGAUCUUUUACCUAUUCCGGUGAAUCUCCCGUUUCUCUCAUUUCCAGGAACAGUGGAGGAGAACAACUAACCAACCAGAAAAGCGGCAGCGACAAAAGUUCUUUCACAGCAUCUCAGCAGCCAGGAGGAUUAGGUGUUUGUUUUACUCGAUGGAGGAGCCACACCGUUCAGAGUAUGCAGGACAAGCAAUGAACUUCGAUUUUAUUUUCCCAUAAAUCUGUAGAAAAGAAAUUCCGAGCUCGAAGAAACCAAUUGGCAUGACCGGAUAGAACUUCAAACUAGGUGAUCUGAAAUUCAUGAAAGUUUUAAGAAAUGGCUUUCGAUGAAUGAAGCUUCCAUGUUCAUUGCCAACCCGACCGGUCCUCCAGAAAUGGUUACAAACCACACAAGGUCUUCUUGCAUACUAUUUUCUUGCAACGUACAACCUAUUUGUCUUAUUUUGCUUCUUCAGUUCUUCUUUAAACAAUCAUGUUGAUCGUGAUUUACGUUUUCUAUUAUAGCUCAUAAUUAGGGGUAACAAUAAUAGGUCAGGGUACUAUGCCUUUAUGGCGAUAGUGUUUUUCUUUUUCUGCAUUCGAAGGAAUGUAUACAAUAUUGUUAUUCCAUAAGUGCUUGAUUCAUAGGACACAACGAGCCAAAUUUAGAUAUGGCCAAAGACUGUCAAAGGAGGCGCACGACACU
Lolium rigidum is the source of this 896-nucleotide long non-coding RNA. RefSeq lists it as uncharacterized. The transcript has 4 exons. The record is from RefSeq and is a predicted model, not a curated record. NCBI's taxonomy places the organism in Eukaryota, Viridiplantae, Streptophyta, Magnoliopsida, Poales, Poaceae.